This 400-nucleotide ribosomal RNA is filed under the name uncultured bacterium. RNAcentral describes it as "partial 16S ribosomal RNA". It matches the Rfam family "Bacterial small subunit ribosomal RNA", at positions 338 to 755 of the family's 1533-position model. The record is from RNAcentral.
CCUACGGGAGGCAGCAGUGGGGAAUAUUGCACAAUGGGGGAAACCCUGAUGCAGCGACGCCGCGUGAGUGAAGAAGGAAUUCGGUAUGUAAAGCUCUAUCAGCAGGGAAGAAAAGGACGGUACCUGAGGAAGAAGCCCCGGCUAACGACGUGCCAGCAGCCGCGGUAAUACGUAGGGGGCAAGCGUUAUCCGGAUUGACUGGGUGGAACGGGAGCGUAGACGGCUGUGCAAGGCUGGAGUGAAAGGCGGGGGCUCAACCCCCGGACUGCUCUGGAAACUGUACGGCUGGAGUGCAGGAGAGGUAAGUGGAAUUCCUAGUGUAGCGGUGCACUGCGUAGAUCUUAGGAGGACCCCCAGUGGCGAAGGCGGCUUACUGGACUGUAACUGACGUUGCGGCUCG